This 1136-nucleotide long non-coding RNA is filed under the name Dromaius novaehollandiae (emu). Its description in RNAcentral is "lncRNA (ENSDNVG00000013775.1)". The record is from RNAcentral. Lineage: Eukaryota; Metazoa; Chordata; Aves; Casuariiformes; Dromaiidae.
AAUGGUUCCCCUAUGGCAGUUAUGUACGGCCGCACACGGAUGAUCUGAGCAGGCCUAUCCGGGUCCUCCAAUACAAUUGUGAUAUCGGUUUCAGAAAUCAUAGCCUCCKCCCUGCCUCCCACUCCAUCUAACGAGCUUGCCACUUUUGCUGGCCAACUCGAUGGCCACAACCACGAGGGCACCCAUUCCACUGCCCCCCCCCCCCGGGGGCAACUCGUACUGGGAAGGCCCCUAUUGGCGCACGAAACUUGAGGCCACGCAGGGCACAUUCGGUCACUAUCAGUUUCCAGUCCGUUAGGGGAAUUUCUUUUCCCCCUCCCGCUUGGGCGGAACCUGCUGCCUCUAAUAGCCCUCUUUGUUUAGCUGCUGCCUCUAAUAGCCCUCUUUGUUUAGCUACUUCCUCUUCCAGAGCUGUAARCAGCAUAAACAUCUGCUCCAUAUCUCUUGUGGCUUUCUUCCCCUUUUUUCCUUCCGCAUCUGACUGCGGCGGGGAGCUCCGCCCUAGUUGCUGCAUUUUCGUCGUUAUUCCUUCUAAGGAGUCAGAGUCUGUGCCUGAGUCUUCAGUCUCCUCCUUCCGCAAUGCUGGUCGACGCCCACUCCUCUCUCGGCCAGCGCCAUCUUUCCCCGGGCGCGGCACCCUCAGUCUCUCCCCUGCUUUUUCCCUUUCUUCGUCUUCCCACUGUACCCGAAUCAUGGCUCCCGGCAGCCAGUCUCGGGGAUCAUCCACUAUAAGCGGUCUUUCCUUUUCUUCUGCCUCUUUCACAUUCACCUUGCUUUCUUUUCCUCUACCCGCCACUGGCUUUUUCAUAUCUCGGUCUCCACAAAGGUCUCCUGGUUCUCYGCCUUCCAUCGCCCUCAUCUCUUUCCACAGGUACCGCGGCGGUGGCGGAGAAGAGGGCAUUAUUGGGAGCCGCCCGAUGCAGUUCUUGACUGCACCCGCUCUCAUGGAGAGCCCCCAUUCCCGGGCACCCACGCGUACAACCUUAACUACCGCGUCCAUGAUCCGGAUCCUCUCGACCGCCUGCGGUCCGCCGUCUCAGCUAUCACGUCGGGGUCACCACUUGUCGCCUUUAAAUGCGACAAUCUCCCGUCCGUCUGAGACGGCACAGAGGCUCCUCCUGCCUCCGGGCCAAUGA